AGAGUUUGAUCCUGGCUCAGGAUGAACGCUGGCGGCGUGCCUAAUACAUGCAAGUCGAGCGAACGGACGAGAAGCUUGCUUCUCUGAUGUUAGCGGCGGACGGGUGAGUAACACGUGGAUAACCUACCUAUAAGACUGGGAUAACUUCGGGAAACCGGAGCUAAUACCGGAUAAUAUUUUGAACCGCAUGGUUCAAAAGUGAAAGACGGUCUUGCUGUCACUUAUAGAUGGAUCCGCGCUGCAUUAGCUAGUUGGUAAGGUAACGGCUUACCAAGGCAACGAUGCAUAGCCGACCUGAGAGGGUGAUCGGCCACACUGGAACUGAGACACGGUCCAGACUCCUACGGGAGGCAGCAGUAGGGAAUCUUCCGCAAUGGGCGAAAGCCUGACGGAGCAACGCCGCGUGAGUGAUGAAGGUCUUCGGAUCGUAAAACUCUGUUAUUAGGGAAGAACAUAUGUGUAAGUAACUGUGCACAUCUUGACGGUACCUAAUCAGAAAGCCACGGCUAACUACGUGCCAGCAGCCGCGGUAAUACGUAGGUGGCAAGCGUUAUCCGGAAUUAUUGGGCGUAAAGCGCGCGUAGGCGGUUUUUUAAGUCUGAUGUGAAAGCCCACGGCUCAACCGUGGAGGGUCAUUGGAAACUGGAAAACUUGAGUGCAGAAGAGGAAAGUGGAAUUCCAUGUGUAGCGGUGAAAUGCGCAGAGAUAUGGAGGAACACCAGUGGCGAAGGCGACUUUCUGGUCUGUAACUGACGCUGAUGUGCGAAAGCGUGGGGAUCAAACAGGAUUAGAUACCCUGGUAGUCCACGCCGUAAACGAUGAGUGCUAAGUGUUAGGGGGUUUCCGCCCCUUAGUGCUGCAGCUAACGCAUUAAGCACUCCGCCUGGGGAGUACGACCGCAAGGUUGAAACUCAAAGGAAUUGACGGGGACCCGCACAAGCGGUGGAGCAUGUGGUUUAAUUCGAAGCAACGCGAAGAACCUUACCAAAUCUUGACAUCCUUUGACAACUCUAGAGAUAGAGCCUUCCCCUUCGGGGGACAAAGUGACAGGUGGUGCAUGGUUGUCGUCAGCUCGUGUCGUGAGAUGUUGGGUUAAGUCCCGCAACGAGCGCAACCCUUAAGCUUAGUUGCCAUCAUUAAGUUGGGCACUCUAAGUUGACUGCCGGUGACAAACCGGAGGAAGGUGGGGAUGACGUCAAAUCAUCAUGCCCCUUAUGAUUUGGGCUACACACGUGCUACAAUGGACAAUACAAAGGGCAGCGAAACCGCGAGGUCAAGCAAAUCCCAUAAAGUUGUUCUCAGUUCGGAUUGUAGUCUGCAACUCGACUACAUGAAGCUGGAAUCGCUAGUAAUCGUAGAUCAGCAUGCUACGGUGAAUACGUUCCCGGGUCUUGUACACACCGCCCGUCACACCACGAGAGUUUGU
This 1426-nucleotide ribosomal RNA is filed under the name Klebsiella pneumoniae. RNAcentral describes it as "bacterial SSU rRNA". It matches the Rfam family "Bacterial small subunit ribosomal RNA". Lineage: Bacteria; Pseudomonadati; Pseudomonadota; Gammaproteobacteria; Enterobacterales; Enterobacteriaceae. The record is from RNAcentral.